Molecule: ribosomal RNA, 568 nt
Filed under: uncultured Acidobacteriota bacterium
Lineage: Bacteria; Pseudomonadati; Acidobacteriota
Description: bacterial SSU rRNA
Rfam family: Bacterial small subunit ribosomal RNA
Source: RNAcentral
CAGGUCACUCCUACGGGAGGCAGCAGUGGGGAAUAUUGGACAAUGGGGGCAACCCUGAUCCAGCAAUGCCGCGUGAGUGAUGAAGGCCUUCGGGUUGUAAAGCUCUUUUGCCAGGGACGAUGAUGACGGUACCUGGAGAAUAAGCCCCGGCUAACUUCGUGCCAGCAGCCGCGGUAAUACGUAGGGUGCGAGCGUUAAUCGGAAUUAUUGGGCGUAAAGGGCGCGUAGGCGGUGCGGUAAGUCUGUAGUGAAAUCUCCGGGCUCAACUCGGAAAUUGCUAUAGAAACUGCCGUGCUCGAGUGUGGGAGAGGUGAGUGGAAUUCCCGGUGUAGCGGUGAAAUGCGUAGAUAUCUGCAGGAACACCCGUGGCGAAAGCGGCGCGCUGGACCACAACUGACGCUGAAUGACGAAAGCUAGGGGAGCAAACAGGAUUAGAUACCCUGGUAGUCCUAGCCCUAAACGAUCAGGACUUGGGGUGCCACCCGUUCGGGUGUCGUCCCGGAGCUAACGCGUUAAGUCCUGCACCUGGGGAGUACGGUCGCAAGACUGAAACUCAAAGGAAUUGACG